UUUAAAUGUAAAUUAAUAUACUAAAUUAGUAAUAGUUAUGUUCUUUAAAUUUAAAGAUUUUGGCGGUAUUUUAGUCUAUUCAGAGGAACCUGUUCUAUAAUCGAUAAUCCACGAUUAAUUUUACUUAAUUUAAAAAUUUGUAUAUCGUCGUUUUUUAAUAAUUUUAAAAGAAUUAUAAUUUUUAAAAUUUUUUAUUAAAAAGAAUAUCAGAUCAAGGUGCAGUUUAUAUUUAAGAAGAAAUGGGUUACAAUAAAUUUAUUUAUAUGGAUUUUUAUAUUAAAUUAUAAAUUUAAAGUGGAUUUGAUUGUAAUAAAAUUAAAUUAAAUUUUAUGAUUUUAGCUCUAAAAUAUGU
This 352-nucleotide ribosomal RNA is filed under the name Agabus didymus. RNAcentral's name for it is "partial 12S ribosomal RNA". Lineage: Eukaryota; Metazoa; Arthropoda; Insecta; Coleoptera; Dytiscidae. The record is from RNAcentral.